CCUACGGGUGGCAGCAGUGAGGAAUAUUGGUCAAUGGACGCAAGUCUGAACCAGCCAUGCCGCGUGCAGGAAGACGGCUCUAUGAGUUGUAAACUGCUUUUGUACGAGGGUAAACUCAGAUACGCGUAUCUGUCUGAAAGUAUCGUACGAAUAAGGAUCGGCUAACUCCGUGCCAGCAGCCGCGGUAAUACGGAGGAUUCGAGCGUUAUCCGGAUUUAUUGGGUUUAAAGGGUGCGUAGGCGGUCGGUUAAGUUAGCGGUGAAAUCCCGAGGCUCAACUUCGGAAUUGCCGUUGAUACUGGGAGGCUAGAGAGUAGUUGAGGUAGGCGGAAUGCAUGGUGUAGCGGUGAAAUGCUUAGAGAUCACACAGAACACCGAUUGCGAAGGCAGCCUACCAAGCUAUGUCUGACGCUGAGGCACGAAAGCGUGGGGAGCAAACAGGAUUAGAUACCCUGGUAGUC
Molecule: ribosomal RNA, 460 nt
Filed under: uncultured bacterium
Lineage: Bacteria
Description: partial 16S ribosomal RNA
Rfam family: Bacterial small subunit ribosomal RNA
Source: RNAcentral